This 23-nucleotide microRNA is filed under the name Capra hircus (goat). RNAcentral describes it as "chi-miR-223-5p". Its record names the gene chi-miR-223-5p. Lineage: Eukaryota; Metazoa; Chordata; Mammalia; Artiodactyla; Bovidae. The record is from miRBase by way of RNAcentral.
UGUGUAUUUGACAAGCUGAGUUG